RNAcentral lists this ribosomal RNA (924 nucleotides) under Pseudomonas sp. RNAcentral's name for it is "bacterial SSU rRNA". It matches the Rfam family "Bacterial small subunit ribosomal RNA", at positions 26 to 949 of the family's 1533-position model. The record is from RNAcentral. Lineage: Bacteria; Pseudomonadati; Pseudomonadota; Gammaproteobacteria; Pseudomonadales; Pseudomonadaceae.
UUUUUGAGGAUGGCGGCGGUCUACAAUGCAGUCGAGCGGUGUAGAGAAGAAUGCUUCUCUUGAGAGCGGCGGACGGGUGAGUAAUGCCUAGGAAUCUGCCUGGUAGUGGGGGAUAACGUUCGGAAACGGACGCUAAUACCGCAUACGUCCUACGGGAGAAAGCAGGGGACCUUCGGGCCUUGCGCUAUCAGAUGAGCCUAGGUCGGAUUAGCUAGUUGGUGAGGUAAUGGCUCACCAAGGCGACGAUCCGUAACUGGUCUGAGAGGAUGAUCAGUCACACUGGAACUGAGACACGGUCCAGACUCCUACGGGAGGCAGCAGUGGGGAAUAUUGGACAAUGGGCGAAAGCCUGAUCCAGCCAUGCCGCGUGUGUGAAGAAGGUCUUCGGAUUGUAAAGCACUUUAAGUUGGGAGGAAGGGUUGUAGAUUAAUACUCUGCAAUUUUGACGUUACCGACAGAAUAAGCACCGGCUAACUCUGUGCCAGCAGCCGCGGUAAUACAGAGGGUGCAAGCGUUAAUCGGAAUUACUGGGCGUAAAGCGCGCGUAGGUGGUUUGUUAAGUUGGAUGUGAAAUCCCCGGGCUCAACCUGGGAACUGCAUUCAAAACUGACUGACUAGAGUAUGGUAGAGGGUGGUGGAAUUUCCUGUGUAGCGGUGAAAUGCGUAGAUAUAGGAAGGAACACCAGUGGCGAAGGCGACCACCUGGACUAAUACUGACACUGAGGUGCGAAAGCGUGGGGAGCAAACAGGAUUAGAUACCCUGGUAGUCCACGCCGUAAACGAUGUCAACUAGCCGUUGGAAGCCUUGAGCUUUUAGUGGCGCAGCUAACGCAUUAAGUUGACCGCCUGGGGAAUACGGCCGCAAGGUUAAAACUCAAAUGAAUUGAACGGGGGCCCCCACAAGCGGGGGAACAUGUGGUUUAA